Gallus gallus (chicken) is the source of this 2362-nucleotide long non-coding RNA. Lineage: Eukaryota; Metazoa; Chordata; Aves; Galliformes; Phasianidae. The record is from Ensembl.
AAUAGAGAUUUUCCUGGAAUCAGGAGAGUUUUAUGUUUAAGCCCCUUGACACAAGGGAAUUGAGCCCCCAAACUUUCAUGUUCUAGGUUGGUAUUUGGAAGGAUAAGCUCUUCAGAAGAGAUGCUGCUGGUAUUUCUUCCUUAGGAAGCAUCCCCAAGGGCUCCAUGGGACCGCAGAACAACUCAGGAUGAAGGAGACCUUGGGCUUAGCACCUUGUCCAUCCUCCGGAUAAUCCUUCACCAAAAUGCCACGUAGGAGUCCCACCACUGCUGUCUGUUCUUUUCACUGUACAGAGAGUGGUGGGAUCAGGACAUUGCAGUAGAAUGUUUGUACAGUUUUACUACUGAAGGAGAAAAAAAGAAGUCUGGCUGGCACUCUUACACGCCAGGACAGAUCAGGCAUGACCCAGUGCUCCAAGGAGUCAUUUCUUUCCUCCUCAAGGCAACUGCACAGCACAUCUUUCUGGAAGGUCUACAGAUAAUCACCCCUCACUGUUACCCACUAUGAACGAUUCCAUAUUCUCUAUGUGUACAUUUAAUACAUCCCUUUAAAUUGAUGCAGAAUGCUGGGGAUCCCCACUCUUUUUCUCUUAGCUCUUUAACGUGACUGAUGAACAGUUGGCUAAUCCCUUCCCUCAGUAUGAGCAUCUUCGAGUCAGAAUCAGUGGAAAGACCCCGAGGAAAUUAUUUUUGGCCUCCUAGUCAUAAAGGAGUAGGUCAUGCAAACCAAACACACCUCUACUUCCUUUGCUCUGGGCUAUUCCCCUGGGCUGGAGCAGACCCAGAGGGCAGGAUGUCUCACAGGGAGCUUAGUGCAUGGAGGCUAUGCAAUCUCCUUGUUAGGUGUAUAAGCAUUUGCAUAGGUAAAUUCUACUCGAUGGGAAACAGGUGGAAGGAAAUGGGCAGGCAGGAUCUUCCCCUUCUUCCUCUUUCAGUGGGCAAUGAGCCUAUGAGAGUGUGGGCUCUUGUUUUAAUCAUUUGUCUUGCAUUGCUCAAACUAAUCAGUAGUUAAGGCAUAGCAUCGGUAAAAUCUGAGCCCAGGUUCUGCUAUCUCCUUCAUUAAAUGCAUGGCGGUGUGGCAAGCUGCAGUUCUUCAUAAACUGAGUCCCUUUCCAAUUGUUUUUAAUGAGUUGUAUUAUAAGAACAUUAUUUGUGUGUAUAGAUAUGAGACUUCUCACAAAUCAGAAAUGUCUCAUAAUGCUGAUAAAAUGGGGACUUAGAAUGAAGAAUUUCUUCACCUACCACAAUAACAAACGUGUUGGAUGUCUUAACCUAUGCUACACUGCAGUAUAUAUUGAUGACUGUGUAUCAUACUUUUAAACGUAAUGAAGACAAGCUAACAAAUCCUGUGCCUCUGGAAAAGCCAUCCUUUGCAAAUCCAGUCUAUACAUAAUCUUAAACAGCAUUCAUCCUGAUAGCAAAUACUAAAUGUAUUUUGUAAUGUAGAGAGAGAGAAUGGCUGCUGGUUGGAUGACAUUAGCAAAUAGGCCAUCCCUAAUCUGCUCUUCAGCGCAUGACCUACAUCUUGUUGCUAUCAUUCCUCUUUUCUUUGAAUGAAUAACUCUCAUUUCAUGAGGCUUUUCUGAGCAGAACCCAUCCUUCAGUGUGCCUAGUACAUACCAGGUACUUUUGCCUUCUUGCAUUCUGAUUCCUGUUUCCCAAUGCAGAACCGACACAGAUCUCCUAAAAUACAGUAUCAUAAAUAUCAAGCCACAGCCCCUAGGACCCAAAAUAUUACUUAUCUUAGAGCCAACAGUCAGGACAGUACCACAGACAUAUACUUUCCUAUACACAGGAUAAGGCUGGGAUCAUCAACUGGAGCUGAUGUCAGAAGGGCUGUGCGAUACUCAGGGCAAAGCCAAAGCUGCCAAGUAUCACUAGAGCUGUGAAAAGGAGGAGAAAUCCCCACCAAAUGGCAAACCAUUGGUCAUAGCCCAGCCUGGACGUGCUCUGUAAAGAGCUUUUCUGAUGUAAAUGGUGUUCUUCAGGCUUUCAGGAGGCUGGCUGGGAAAAUGACUGUACAAAGGAUUUUUGUUGUUACUUGGCCUGAUGGCUCACUCAGCAUCUUGGUGUCCUCACUGCCUUUUGGUCAGAGUCAUGUUAUUAUGAGUAGAUAAUUGUAUAGUUAGCUUGUAGCUCCCUGGUUAAGACUACAAUUUAAAAUAAUGAAGGAAUUUAAUUUAUAUCAGUGAUGCUCCCCAUAUGAACUCAGCACAAGGCUAUAAUAAGCUAAUUUAUAAGUGAUGCAUAUUUCCUUCAAACCCAGCCAAAAUGAAAAAUAUAAAAAUGAGAAGAAAUGACUGCUUCUGCACUUACAAGAGUGCACUCCAAAAAGAGGACUGAGCUGGUUAAAAUUGCAUCUG